UGAGAAUUUAGUAUUAAUGAGCUGUCCGUUUUACAGAAUAAAGUAAACACUGGAAUUUGUAAACUUCAUGAUGAAUCUGAACCAAACAAAGACCCCAAUAUUAAUCUAAUUCAAAUAAAAAUAAAGUCUUAAAAUUAUUGCACAAAAAUACUUUAAAUAUCUUCCCUCAGUAGAGACUUGAGCUUAAAAAGUUGGUCACCUCAGAGUAGCUAGAUUGAUCACUGGUAAGGAGUCAUUAUAAGAAGUUCACGUUAAUAUGAGAAACGAAGUUCCUUAUCUCCCUCUAUUGCUAGAUAGUUAGUUAUAUGUAAUGCUUAAAGUGUGUAUUCUUUGUUUAGGGGGGCCAUCCGGCAUAGAAACCUUUUUAAAACUAUGGUUGAUAAAGCCAGGCAUGUACGGUCUUGGUUAGUUAUGAGUUCCCCCACAUAUGAAAGGGGAGAAAAAAAAAGAAAAAGGCACCCUCCUCAAAUGCCAAUGAUACCGUCAUUAAUAAAGCAGAAAUUUCUCAAUUUUUCAUCACCGUAUAAGAUAAAAUAAAAUACAACCAGUAUCACAAUUCAUAAUACGCAAGAAACAAAUAAACGCUCACUGUCAGAUAAAAUUAUCAAUGACAUUAAUUCGUAAAUUUGAAAAAGAGGGAGGAUCAGGGAAGAACACAAAGUCUCAAAUGGCAAAAAGAUUUAUGAAUCAAUAAAAGACGGUACAAAAACUGCAUUGAACAGUCAAAACAUAUGUAUACAUGUCUAAGUGAGUUUAUUAUAUAUUCUUGAUGCAAGUGUGGUGAAACUUGCUCUGGUGCAGCAUCAUUAACAAGUUGCAAACAAACAAACCCCUAGAAAAUCCUAAUUAACUCAAAACAAAACACAAUGAAAAAUAAAAAGAAAACCCAAAACAAAAAGAGAAAACGAGUGUUUGGGGAUAGAAAUAGUGAAAUAUAGAUUGAUUCUUGCUGAAACUCAUUAGAAAUUUCUUUCUUGCUCAAUUCUUCCUCAUAUUUCCUCAAUUUCUCAUUCCACUUUGCCUGAAAAUAAUUAGAAACACUAAAAUCAGUGAAAUUAGUAUUAAUAAUGCUUAAUAAUCAAAAAAAUGGAGGGAUUUUGAAAUUAGAAAAUUAGAUAACAUUCUAGCUAAUUUCAAGGCGAUGCAUCACAUAGAAGCCAAGAACUCCCUCGAGAAUUGUCCCUGCCAUUAUUCUCAUAUACCCCAUGCUAUUGGUGACACCAUUUUCUCUCUAUUCUCUCUCUAUAUCAAAGUCUGAGCGAAGUGAUUUGGGAGUUCCCAAUUUGAUGGAUUGGAGCGGUUAAGGGAAAGAGAGAUAAUUUAACAAAAUAGAAGAAUGCCAAAAUGGACUUAAUAACUUAUUAAGAGCGACUUAUAACUCAUUUUUAAAUAAGUUUAAAUUGUGGGUAUUUCCAUAUGUCAUUCGUUACAAACAGGCUAAGGAAAAUAUCAUUGCAGAUGCUUUAUCUCGAAGAUUUGUUUUGAUAAAUACUCUUGAUUCAAAAUUACAUGGUUU
This 1516-nucleotide long non-coding RNA is filed under the name Panax ginseng (ginseng). Its description in RNAcentral is "long non-coding RNA (PGIN_LNC007147)". Lineage: Eukaryota; Viridiplantae; Streptophyta; Magnoliopsida; Apiales; Araliaceae. The record is from RNAcentral.